GGGGUUGAACGGAAUUGACGGGUUGAGCAAUUGAUGAGUAAGCAUGUAGAGCGUUGUUCCUGUUGCUCUAUAAUCUGAAGGUUCAAAAAAUAAAAGGCGAAUACAACUUCGCAAUGGCUGCCUAAUCAGAGAUUAGGUAAAUGUCAUCCGCCUUCAUACCUCUUCUUCGGCAGGUAUGGUAAAAGGCGGUCGAAAAUCCGAAGAAAUUUAACAAAGGUUUCUGAUACUUGUUGAAUUUAUUAAUCAGAACAAGACUUUAAACGGUAAUCGUUAAACCUCCUAAAGUACUGAAACCAAUUAACGAUAAACAUGUAGAAAGCUCAAUUAAUUCCAUCGCCGGACCGGGGUUCGAAUCCCCGCAACUCCACUA
RNAcentral lists this transfer-messenger RNA (370 nucleotides) under Bacteroidia. RNAcentral's name for it is "JABWCE01 sp013359235 Standard tmRNA". It matches the Rfam family "transfer-messenger RNA". Rfam says of the family: Bacterial tmRNA, also known as 10Sa RNA or SsrA, is named for its dual tRNA and mRNA-like properties. Its role is to liberate the mRNA from a stalled ribosome. The record is from RNAcentral. RNAcentral also lists the same sequence under 1 other name. Lineage: Bacteria; Pseudomonadati; Bacteroidota.